GUGGAGUGCCAAGAAAUACACACCGGUCUAUAAGUCACAAUUAUUUUUGAAAUAUGGUGCUACCAAUUCAUGCAACAAGAAGCAAAAU
Molecule: long non-coding RNA, 88 nt
Organism: Thalassophryne amazonica
Lineage: Eukaryota; Metazoa; Chordata; Actinopteri; Batrachoidiformes; Batrachoididae
Exons: 3
Source: RefSeq, a predicted model, not a curated record